Molecule: long non-coding RNA, 479 nt
Filed under: Zonotrichia albicollis (white-throated sparrow)
Lineage: Eukaryota; Metazoa; Chordata; Aves; Passeriformes; Passerellidae
Description: lncRNA (ENSZALG00000005024.1)
Source: RNAcentral
AUGAGUUGGGCGCUGCCGUGCUUGUGCUGUCGGGGGAGUCUCCCGCCUCCUCUCCAUCUGCAUUGCCUCCCCUCCUCUCCAUCUCCUCACCGUGUGGACCAGGGCUCUGUAAAAACCCUCCAAAAUCAGCUGCACCGCCCACCCAGGAGAUUGUCCUGCUGGCAGCGCAAGUUCAUUCAAGUCCACUGGGGAGGCGCCAGUGGGUUUUUUUUUGCUUCUGUGAAGAGUUACUAGAGCUUGCCACAUCCAAGGAGCUGAGCUGAGGGAUCCUGCUGGAAGUGAAGAAUUGGCAUCCUGUUGGGCCUGAGACAGGAUGCAGCAGGGCUGUGAAAUGUGGAAAAAUUAAAAUCAUUCUGUGAAAUCAGUGUCCAGGCUGUUCUCAGGUCGUGCGGAGAGGGACCCAUGGGGAAAAUAUCAGUCCUCUUACAGCUGAGAGAGAACAGUCUGCUGUGGACUCUGCCAGAUGUAUCCUGUUUUUU